ACACAGGUAGUCAAGAUGAGAAUUCUAAGGUGAGCGAGCGAACUCUCGUUAAGGAACUCGGCAAAAUGACCCCGUAACUUCGGGAGAAGGGGUGCUCUUUAGGGUUAACGCCCAGAAGAGCCGCAGUGAAUAGGCCCAAGCGACUGUUUAUCAAAAACACAGGUCUCUGCUAAACCGUAAGGUGAUGUAUAGGGGCUGACGCCUGCCCGGUGCUGGAAGGUUAAGAGGAGUGGUUAGCUUCUGCGAAGCUACGAAUCGAAGCCCCAGUAAACGGCGGCCGUAACUAUAACGGUCCUAAGGUAGCGAAAUUCCUUGUCGGGUAAGUUCCGACCCGCACGAAAGGCGUAACGAUUUGGGCACUGUCUCAACGAGAGACUCGGUGAAAUCAUAGUACCUGUGAAGAUGCAGGUUACCCGCGACAGGACGGAAAGACCCCGUGGAGCUUUACUGUAGCCUGAUAUUGAAAUUCGGCACAGCUUGUACAGGAUAGGUAGGAGCCUUUGAAACGUGAGCGCUAGCUUACGUGGAGGCGCUGGUGGGAUACUACCCUAGCUGUGUUGGCUUUCUAACCCGCACCACUUA
RNAcentral lists this ribosomal RNA (582 nucleotides) under Staphylococcus aureus. RNAcentral describes it as "partial 23S ribosomal RNA". It matches the Rfam family "Bacterial large subunit ribosomal RNA", at positions 1657 to 2238 of the family's 2925-position model. The record is from RNAcentral. Lineage: Bacteria; Bacillati; Bacillota; Bacilli; Caryophanales; Staphylococcaceae.